UUCACCCCGGAGGCGAGGACGCCCGCCCUCGUGUCAGAGGCUGACGCCGUGGGCUUGACAAAGAGUCAUGUUACGAGCUCUGCUACAUGUUCCCACGAACACAGUGCCACUCUACGUAUCUCCCCACUACUGAUGAAUGGGCUGAGACAUGCUGAAACCAGGAACGACAGUCCUUUUAUGAGAUGAAUAAGACUUCAGAGAAUUAUGAAGUUGAAACCACAACGUGGAAGACACCUGGGGUUGACAAACGAGUCAUUGGAGACGCGCUUCCUAGGAGAGCUGUGUGACCAGGAACACCUAGAGUAGUGUAUUUGCUUUGUUAAAGAGUGACUUGUAUGAGAGAGAAAUCUAUUUUCCAUAAAAAUAAAAAAAGAAUGAC
This 379-nucleotide long non-coding RNA is filed under the name Mus musculus (house mouse). Its description in RNAcentral is "RIKEN cDNA 2310010J17 gene, transcript variant 2 (2310010J17Rik)". Lineage: Eukaryota; Metazoa; Chordata; Mammalia; Rodentia; Muridae. The record is from RNAcentral.